This 495-nucleotide ribosomal RNA is filed under the name uncultured bacterium. Its description in RNAcentral is "partial 16S ribosomal RNA". It matches the Rfam family "Bacterial small subunit ribosomal RNA", at positions 28 to 507 of the family's 1533-position model. The record is from RNAcentral.
GACGAACGCUGGCGGCGUGCCUAAUACAUGCAAGUAGAACGCUGAAGGAGGAGCUUGCUCUUCUGGAUGAGUUGCGAACGGGUGAGUAACGCGUAGGUAACCUGCCUGUUAGCGGGGGAUAACUAUUGGAAACGAUAGCUAAUACCGCAUAACAGUAGAUGUUGCAUGACAUUUGCUUAAAAGGUGCAAUUGCACCACUACCAGAUGGACCUGCGUUGUAUUAGCUAGUUGGUGGGGUAACGGCUCACCAAGGCGACGAUACAUAGCCGACCUGAGAGGGUGAUCGGCCACACUGGGACUGAGACACGGCCCAGACUCCUACGGGAGGCAGCAGUAGGGAAUCUUCGGCAAUGGACGGAAGUCUGACCGAGCAACGCCGCGUGAGUGAAGAAGGUUUUCGGAUCGUAAAGCUCUGUUGUAAGAGAAGAACGAGUGUUAGAGUGGAAAGUUCACACUGUGACGGUAUCUUACCAGAAAGGGACGGCUAACUACGUG